RNAcentral lists this ribosomal RNA (468 nucleotides) under uncultured bacterium. Its description in RNAcentral is "partial 16S ribosomal RNA". It matches the Rfam family "Bacterial small subunit ribosomal RNA", at positions 28 to 507 of the family's 1533-position model. The record is from RNAcentral.
GACGAACGCUGGCGGCGUGCUUAACACAUGCAAGUCGAACGGAAAGGCCCUGCUUUUGUGGGGUGCUCGAGUGGCGAACGGGUGAGUAACACGUGAGUAACCUGCCCUUGACUUUGGGAUAACUUCAGGAAACUGGGGCUAAUACCGGAUAGGAGCUCCUGCUGCAUGGUGGGGGUUGGAAAGUUUCGGCGGUUGGGGAUGGACUCGCGGCUUAUCAGCUUGUUGGUGGGGUAGUGGCUUACCAAGGCUUUGACGGGUAGCCGGCCUGAGAGGGUGACCGGCCCCAUUGGGCCUGGGAUACGGCCCAGACCCCUACGGGAGGCAGCAGUGGGGAAUAUUGCACAAUGGGCGGAAGCCUGAUGCAGCAACGCCGCGUGCGGGAUGACGGCCUUCGGGUUGUAAACCGCUUUCGCCUGUGACGAAGCGUGAGUGACGGUAAUGGGUAAAGAAGCACCGGCUAACUACGUG